CAAUAGCGUAUAUUAACGUUGUUGCAGUUAAAAAGCUCGUAGUUGGAUUUCUGGAGGGAGCGUCGGCCCGUAUUUACGAGUGCGUGACGUCUCUGUCCAUCCUUGCGGGAAGGCACGGCAUUGAUUUGUUGUGUCGGAUCGCAUCAUUUACUGUGAAAAAAUUAGAGUGUUCAAAGCAGGCUUUCGCUUGAAUACAUUAGCAUGGAAUAAUAAGAUAGGACUUUGGUGCUAUUUUGUUGGUUAAGCCUAAAGUAAUGAUUAAUAGGGAUAGUUGGGGGCACCUGUAUUGCGUUGUCAGAGGUGAAAUUCUUGGAUUUACGCAAGACAAACAGCUGCGAAAGCGUCUGCCAAGGAUGUUUUCAUUAA
Molecule: ribosomal RNA, 366 nt
Filed under: uncultured eukaryote
Lineage: Eukaryota
Description: partial 18S ribosomal RNA
Rfam family: Eukaryotic small subunit ribosomal RNA
Source: RNAcentral